UACGGAGGGUGCAAGCGUUAAUCGGAAUUACUGGGCGUAAAGCGCGCGUAGGCGGCUGGAUAAGUCGAUUGUGAAAGCCCCGGGCUCAACCUGGGAAUUGCAGUCGAGACUGUUCGGCUAGAGUGUGGGAGAGGGUGGUGGAAUUCCCGGUGUAGCGGUGAAAUGCGUAGAUAUCGGGAGGAACAUCAAUGGCGAAGGCGACCACCUGGCCCAACACUGACGCUGAGGUGCGAAAGCGUGGGUAGCAAACAGG
Molecule: ribosomal RNA, 253 nt
Filed under: uncultured bacterium
Lineage: Bacteria
Description: partial 16S ribosomal RNA
Rfam family: Bacterial small subunit ribosomal RNA
Source: RNAcentral